GUUCAUUUGGUUCUCCGCCUUCCAGUCUUUCACCUCCUCCUCCUCCUCCUCCUCCAUCCACCCCGCUGCAUCCUUCAGAGCUGCGAGAGCGCGAGCAUCACCACCGUCAAGUUAAACUACAAAACCACAUGACUUCCUGAUUUUGGCUACAUAUGCACGCCGUAUAUUUGUUUUUCAUGACGUCUUUUAGUUUGAAGGCAAAGUCGCUAUCGGGUCAUGGCUCUCGCCGCUUCUUCAGGAAACAACCCUGGGACACUCCGCAUUGUGGACUGCCUCUCUCUUGAGAUGAUCCUGGCCAGUCCCAGUAGGAGGGAAUAGGGAGGAAGGAAGCAGGUGCUAAUAUACGGUCCCCAUCUUUCCUCUCCAUGCAGGUUGUUGGUGAGCUUGAGAGUGUCGAAGGAAACAGUCUGCUUCAUCCACUGGGCUCCACAGGCAGGGAUAAAGUCCAUGAGCAGGACAUAUUCAGCAGCAGGAUCCAUCCCAGAGAUUUGCACCUGGAAUGUUGGAAACAUCCUCCUGCAGUUUGUGAACAUGUAAAUGAACGUUAUGUAGUAAGAGACACCAGAGAAAGAGGGAAAUGGAGAAGUGCAAGAUAAGGUAGUGAGGAAUAUAAAUUGUUACCUUCCAG
Molecule: long non-coding RNA, 628 nt
Organism: Siniperca chuatsi (mandarin fish)
Lineage: Eukaryota; Metazoa; Chordata; Actinopteri; Centrarchiformes; Sinipercidae
Exons: 5
Source: RefSeq, a predicted model, not a curated record